AAAAAGACUUUGAUAGAGACAGUAAUUUAUCAGUAAAAAUCAAAGAGAGUCCGUUGAUGGUGAGAGCGGAUAUGAGUAGCUGAUAUAUGAAAAUCACUCUGGAGUUGCAACCCGAAGUAUUUUCGUAGGCGUUGACGGUAUCCUCCGUUAAAGGGAGCACAUAUAAAGGGUUAUUCCGAGUAUGCUGUUAAAGGUGGUUAAACGAAAAUUACAGGCUUUCGUCCUUUGC
Molecule: non-coding RNA, 229 nt
Filed under: Eubacterium sp.
Lineage: Bacteria; Bacillati; Bacillota; Clostridia; Eubacteriales; Eubacteriaceae
Description: T-box sequence
Rfam family: T-box leader
About the family: Uncharged tRNA acts as the effector for transcription antitermination of genes in the T-box leader family. T-boxes are found upstream of many aminoacyl-tRNA synthetase genes and some amino acid biosynthetic genes usually in Gram-positive bacteria.
Source: RNAcentral